ACGCUAAUACCGCAUAUUCUGUGAGCAGGAAAGCAGGGGAUCGCAAGACCUUGCGCUCUGGGAGCGGCCGAUGUCGGAUUAGCUAGUUGGUGGGUAAAGGCCUACCAAGGCGACGAUCCGUAGCGGGUCUGAGAGGAUGAUCCGCCACACUGAGACUGAGACACGGCCCAGACUCCUACGGGAGGCAGCAGGUGGGGAAUUUGGACAAUGGGCGAAAGCCUGAUCCAGCCAUGCCGCGUGAGUGAAGAAGGCCGUUCGGGUUGUAAAGCUCUUUCGGUGGGGAAGAAAUUGCAUAGGCUAAUACCCUGUGUAGAUGACGGUACCUGGAGAAGAAGCACCGGCUAACUACGUG
This 352-nucleotide ribosomal RNA is filed under the name uncultured bacterium. RNAcentral's name for it is "bacterial SSU rRNA". It matches the Rfam family "Bacterial small subunit ribosomal RNA", at positions 160 to 507 of the family's 1533-position model. The record is from RNAcentral.